This 329-nucleotide ribosomal RNA is filed under the name Assulina sp. Its description in RNAcentral is "SSU rRNA". The stretch from base 121 to 329 matches the Rfam family "Eukaryotic small subunit ribosomal RNA", at positions 746 to 955 of the family's 1831-position model. The record is from RNAcentral. Lineage: Eukaryota; Cercozoa; Imbricatea; Euglyphida; Euglyphidae.
GAUUUCUGGCGUGGUGUGUCGAGCCCGCCCUCCGGGGUGAGUGCUUGUUACAUGCCUGCCAUACUUCGGGAGUGCUGGGCGCUGGGGCCGCAAGGUUUCGGUGUCCGUCAAGGCGCUUCCGAUCUUUUACUUUGAAAAAAUUAGAGUGUUCAAAGCAGGCUUAACGCUAUGAAUACAUUAGCAUGGAAUAAUAAUUUAGGACUUCGGUUCUAUUUUGUUGGUUUCUAGGACUGAAGUAAUGAUUGAUAGGGACAGUUGGGGGUGCUAGUAUUCCGCGGCCAGAGGUGAAAUUCUUGGAUUCGCGGAAGACUAACUACUGCGAAAGCAUU